RNAcentral lists this ribosomal RNA (115 nucleotides) under uncultured bacterium. RNAcentral describes it as "partial 16S ribosomal RNA". It matches the Rfam family "Bacterial small subunit ribosomal RNA", at positions 1373 to 1482 of the family's 1533-position model. The record is from RNAcentral.
CCCGGGCCUUGUACACACCGCCCGUCACACCGAUUGGGAGUCGUUUGCUCCAGAAGUGCCUUCGGCCAACCCGCAAGGGAGGUAGGGCCCCAAGGAGUGAACGGUAACUGGGGUG